Cricetulus griseus (Chinese hamster) is the source of this 740-nucleotide non-coding RNA. Lineage: Eukaryota; Metazoa; Chordata; Mammalia; Rodentia; Cricetidae. The record is from RefSeq and is a predicted model, not a curated record.
AUACUCUCCAAGCACACAGAGAGUAUCCACAAGGCCUCCAUUUGCCAAUCAGCUGUCUGUGAAGACCUCUUCCAGCAGGACCAAGCUCUAGGUAUUUUACGGUGACAUGACUGACGAACUGUGAGGCAAUAAACAGCAGGUGGCUUACUUUGAAUUCCAAGUUCUCCAGAGAUGGAAUUUUCUGGAUGUUUAGGAACCAAAAGUACACUCAGAUAUAACCAAUUCAUGCCUUAUAUCAGCAGACUAAGCAUAUGCCGACAGUAUGAAAUUCUUGUAUAUUCAAGCAUUUCACUUCAGUGCAACAGUGAAAAAGUGGCCUGUUUUGAAAGUGGGAAGAGGUUAAUGGAAUCAUUUUCAAGUAUGCUGAGCUGGAUCCUGAGAGUUAAGAAGACUGAGCCAUUUUGGCUGUGUGUUUUAUAAGCCAUACGUAUCUACAGAUGCCAGAAAAAAGUUCAAAAAUCAUAUUAGGAACCCUAGACUGCUUUUUCUACUUCACUAGGUACAAUUUUCAAGGUCUUUAUAAGCCAGGAGAACCCCUUCCUCCCCACAAAGCCAAUAAAAGACCAAACUGGAGGGCUAAAGGGAAAAACAGCAAGUUCAAGACUAUAACCCCCUACCUAGCCUUUGUCUGUUUUAGAACAUCCUAGAGCUCCAUCUAGUGGCCACCUAUGGCCACUAACCUAGAGCUAAGAGAAUGCUACAUAAAAAGAGGGAGGAAGGGAGAGAGAGAGAGAGAGAGA